GAUGAACGCUAGCUACAGGCUUAACACAUGCAAGUCGAGGGGAAACGGCAUUGAGUGCUUGCACUCUUUGGACGUCGACCGGCGCACGGGUGAGUAACGCGUAUCCAACCUUCCCAUUACUGUGGGAUAACCUGCCGAAAGGCAGACUAAUACCGCAUAGUCUUCGAUGACGGCAUCAGAUUUGAAGUAAAGAUUUAUCGGUAAUGGAUGGGGAUGCGUCUGAUUAGCUUGUUGGUGGGGUAACGGCCCACCAAGGCAACGAUCAGUAGGGGUUCUGAGAGGAAGGUCCCCCACAUUGGAACUGAGACACGGUCCAAACUCCUACGGGAGGCAGCAGUGAGGAAUAUUGGUCAAUGGACGGAAGUCUGAACCAGCCAAGUAGCGUGCAGGAUGACGGCCCUAUGGGUUGUAAACUGCUUUUGUAUGGGGAUAAAGUUAGGGACGUGUCCCUAUUUGCAGGUACCAUACGAAUAAGGACCGGCUAAUUCCGUGCCAGCAGCCGCGGUAAUACGGAAGGUCCAGGCGUUAUCCGGAUUUAUUGGGUUUAAAGGGAGCGUAGGCUGGAGAUUAAGUGUGUUGUGAAAUGUAGACGCUCAACGUCUGAAUUGCAGCGCAUACUGGUUUCCUUGAGUACGCACAACGUUGGCGGAAUUCGUCGUGUAGCGGUGAAAUGCUUAGAUAUGACGAGGAACUCCGAUUGCGAAGGCAGCUGACGGGAGCGCAACUGACGCUUAAGCUCGAAGGUGCGGGUAUCAAACAGG
This 761-nucleotide ribosomal RNA is filed under the name Prevotella melaninogenica. Its description in RNAcentral is "bacterial SSU rRNA". It matches the Rfam family "Bacterial small subunit ribosomal RNA", at positions 28 to 776 of the family's 1533-position model. Lineage: Bacteria; Pseudomonadati; Bacteroidota; Bacteroidia; Bacteroidales; Prevotellaceae. The record is from RNAcentral.